RNAcentral lists this unclassified non-coding RNA (1141 nucleotides) under Polaromonas sp. E13S. Its description in RNAcentral is "partial contains 16S ribosomal RNA, 16S-23S ribosomal RNA intergenic spacer, and 23S ribosomal RNA". The stretch from base 891 to 1141 matches the Rfam family "Bacterial large subunit ribosomal RNA", at positions 1 to 258 of the family's 2925-position model. Lineage: Bacteria; Pseudomonadati; Pseudomonadota; Betaproteobacteria; Burkholderiales; Comamonadaceae. The record is from RNAcentral.
UGUACACACCGCCCGUCACACCAUGGGAGCGGGUUCUGCCAGAAGUAGUUAGCCUAACCGUAAGGAGGGCGAUUACCACGGCAGGGUUCGUGACUGGGGUGAAGUCGUAACAAGGUAGCCGUAUCGGAAGGUGCGGCUGGAUCACCUCCUUUCUGGAAAUAUGCAGUCAAAUUCUUACGCCCAUUCUUAUCGGCUGUUGUGUCAAACAACAGCAAUGUCACCGAGUUAAUUCAAGUUAAUUAGCAUUAAUUGGUGCCGCCUUCGAGUUUAUUAAUGAGAGUUAAUUAAUGAGAGGGUCUGUAGCUCAGCUGGUUAGAGCAUCGUCUUGAUAAGGCGGGGGUCGUUGGUUCGAGUCCAACCAGACCCACCAAUUGGGCUUAGUUAGUCUUAAUUGGACUUAGGUGGAGAGCUAAAAGCGAGAAGCUAAAAGCGAAAAAGAAAUCCCGGGGGAUUAGCUCAGCUGGGAGAGCACCUGCUUUGCAAGCAGGGGGUCGACGGUUCGAUCCCGUCAUCCUCCACCAAAAUAUUCAGCAGAUUGAUUAAUUCAGUUUGUUGAAAAACUUAUCAGAAGCAAAUUAAAUUAAUGCAAAGCAUGUUCGCGACAAGUCGCGAGGAUGCUUUGUAUUGAUUGAUUCAUUUCAAUUAUUGGCUGUUCUUUAAAAAUUUAUAGAGUUAAAUUAGCGUCGUUAGCGGAAACUGCACAUUCGUAAAGGUUUAGUGCAGACCGUGCCGCUAGCGACAUAGUAGUAAAUAAUUUUUUGAUUGCGUCAAAAGAAACUUUUAAUUUCGAUAGUAAUUUAUUGAAUAAUUGGAAGAUACGGCAUAACGCGUGUGGUGUAAGACCACACAAUCAUUCCUUGAAGAUAACUGAAGAGAAAUCAAAGUUAUAGGGUCAAGCGAAUAAGAGCAUAUGGUGGAUGCCUAGGCAAUGAUAGGCGACGAAAGACGUGAUAGCCUGCGAUAAGCUUCGGGGAGCUGGCAAAUUAGCUUUGAUCCGGAGAUUUCUGAAUGGGGAAACCCACCCUUCGGGGUAACGCUGACUGAAUACAUAGGUCUGCGUGGCGAACCGGGUGAACUGAAACAUCUCAGUAGCUCGAGGAAAAGACAUCAACCGAGAUUCCGAGAGUAGUGGCGAGCGAAA